Camelina sativa (false flax) is the source of this 228-nucleotide non-coding RNA. The record is from RefSeq and is a predicted model, not a curated record. NCBI's taxonomy places the organism in Eukaryota, Viridiplantae, Streptophyta, Magnoliopsida, Brassicales, Brassicaceae.
ACUUCAACUCUUGUGGUCUCAAGGUCUAAACUCGCGGGUACUAGAACCACCUAUGAUGUAGAGUUACUAAAUAAAGAUGAAGCGAUGUCUCUGUUCUGUUUAUCUGCUUUCAAUCAGAAAUCAGUCCCUCCAGGAUUCAGCAAAAGUUUGGUCCAGCAGGUUGUUGGGGAGUGUAAAGGUCUACCUUUGUCUCUGAAAGUUGUUGGUGCUUCAUUGAAAAACCAAUCU